Passer domesticus (house sparrow) is the source of this 826-nucleotide long non-coding RNA. RefSeq lists it as uncharacterized. The transcript is spliced from 3 exons. Lineage: Eukaryota; Metazoa; Chordata; Aves; Passeriformes; Passeridae. The record is from RefSeq and is a predicted model, not a curated record.
UUUUACAUCUCUAGGGUACAGGGGAGACAGCCAUCUCAGUACUCAGUCCUUUCUCCUUAAGUGUUGGGAAAGACGAUGGCCUACUAAAAGAAGCUAGAAGACAAUGGGAAAGAAGAAAACAUUAAGUUGAUUUGAGCUAAGAAACCAUAAGCCUUGGUAGCACUGACACUUCUCAAACAUCAUGCAUAACUACAUCAACCUCGAGGACUUUCACUUCCUUCUCUUCAGUGGCACUGAAGGCCAAUUCAGUGAUUACCAGGAUACAGUUGCAGCAAAGGUCCCAGCACAUGGGCUCACUGAGAAAACAGACUUCCUACCACUGUCAUGAGGUUCACUGGGAGGUUAAAAACAUGGAGAGUUAUCUUCAAGUAUAGAAAGAGUAAAGUUUAUUGUGUAAACAUUUACACUGUGAGCUGACCUUCUUCUGACUUCAACUGGUAAAGAGUCCAGGGGGAAAUGUUUUGGGGCAGGAGUCCAGGAAGCUGAAUGGAGUGGGAAGAUAAAGAGUGGUCUGCAGUUGAACAGGGCAGUGGGGAGAAAGACAGAUGAAUGCUCCCCUGGUCCAUGAGAAGGACUGCACAGUUUUGGAAACAGAUUCCAUGACACCGAUCUCAGAGACAAGCUGCUCCCUGUGUCCUUAUCAGAACAGUUGCUCAGAAAUCCAGGAAGACAGAGCACUUCCUUGAGGGUGCAGAGGUGGAGGGCAUCUCAGGGGCAUGAUGUAACACUCCCACUGUGUCAUGUUUUGAACUACACACCACAGUUGAGAUCCUCUGGGCAAUUCCCGGUUCAGGCACCUGAGAGCUCUCCUGAAGUUAAGCUGAGA